This 417-nucleotide long non-coding RNA is filed under the name Arachis ipaensis. RNAcentral's name for it is "long non-coding RNA (AIPA_LNC000562)". Lineage: Eukaryota; Viridiplantae; Streptophyta; Magnoliopsida; Fabales; Fabaceae. The record is from RNAcentral.
AGUAAGUGCAAUCAUGUAAUUAGAAUUAAUGUGCCUUAGGAUAACUUAGUUAUUUAUGAUGGAUAUGAGAAUAUUAAGUCAUGAUUAGCCUUUGCAUCCGAUGUGAAUGGUCCCAAUUGAACCUUCUUUACAAGUCUUGUUCUUUCCAGCUAAUAAAUGUUGUUUUUCUCUUGGGAAGUUCAUUAUGACGAGUAUUUGGAGUCAAUGUGAUCUCAAACUCCGUUUGUUACUGUUGGUUAAGCUUCUAUUGUGUAAUCUUAGUUGCUCUAUUCUUGAAAAAUCUGCACUGAGCAUGUACAAUGGAUGAUUUGCAGGAGAGGUUGAAGAAAUAGCAGGAGGAAAAAGAACACAAAAAGAAAGAAAGCCCAUCUUUAUACUAUUAUAAAGGUUCUUUGUUAACUUAUUGUUUGUCCUUAU